AGAAGACGUGUCACUUCAGAUCAACUGUUGGUGUUCACAGGUUGAGGUGUGGCACUAGAAUGAUACAGCCCUGUGAUGGCCUGGCGGCCUGUCCGGGGCAUCUCCCUGCCUUCCGUCCAACGACUGCAACCCCGCGACCCUGAGAGCACGAUAAGUGGAUACAGGUGCUCAGAAAUGGACAAAGAGGAUCAACAAGUGGUUAAAAGCGGGCAGAGCGGCCAAGAAAGGGAAAGCAUGAAGAGGGCGACUCUUCU
Molecule: long non-coding RNA, 254 nt
Organism: Lampris incognitus (smalleye Pacific opah)
Lineage: Eukaryota; Metazoa; Chordata; Actinopteri; Lampriformes; Lampridae
Exons: 4
Source: RefSeq, a predicted model, not a curated record